GAGACCUGUACCUACAAUUGCCAACAACACCAUCUGUGGAUUGGGUACAUUGUAGGGACUGCCUUGGAAACGAGGAGGAAGGUGCAGGCAACGGUAGGUCUGUAUGCCCCGAAUCCUCUGGGCUACACGCGCGCAACAAUGGUAAGGACAAAGGGAUGCAACUCCGAAAGGGGAAGCUAAUCCUCCAAACCUUAUCUUAGUCCAGAUUGAGGAUUGUAACUCAUCCUCAUGACGCUGGAAUCCCUAGUAAUCAGAUGUUAUAAUCAUCUGGUGAAUAC
Molecule: ribosomal RNA, 278 nt
Filed under: uncultured archaeon
Lineage: Archaea
Description: partial 16S rRNA
Rfam family: Archaeal small subunit ribosomal RNA
Source: RNAcentral